UGUUCCCCACCCGCGAUGGGGCGGGGGCACCACCCGGCGGGCAGGGCGCUGAGCACCGCUCCUGGAGAACGGGGGUCCGCGGAGCGGGGUGUCCUCCCGCUCUCUGCCCCCAGCCACCCCUCCAUCACCCCUUCCCUCGGAUCCCCAGGGCCAAUGCUGUCCCCGGAGCCGCGCCCCCCCCCUCCAGCCCUGGGCUGUGGGCGCUGCGUGGCCGUGUCGGCGGUGUCCCCCCCCGCGGCGGUGGCGGGGGCACGGCUGGCAUUGCUCGCUGACACCCUAUCUGCCAGGGCCACGCCAGCGCGGGCCCAGAAUAGCAGCGCUGCCCCGCAGAUAGUCGGCAUGGAGCGGCUCCGCGGCCCCGCUGUGUCCCAGGUGGCGCUGCUGGAUACUGCUUCCUGCCCUGAGGAGGAAGAGUUCCCGGAGGCCCUAUGCCCCAGGGAGGAGGAAGAGGAGGAGGAAGAAUACAGGCAAAGGAGAUCUGUCACCUUCACACUGGGAAAUGAGAUACUGGGGCUGGGCCCAGAAAGUGAGUUUCAGAGCCCUGACGCCGAGGUCUACAUGCACUUCUUACGGAGCCACUGCUGCUAUGAUGCCAUCCCCACGAGCUGCAAGCUUGUCGUCUUCGACAUCUCCCUGGAGCAGAUCAAGAAAGCCUUUGUGGCACUGGUGGCCAAUGGGGUGCGCGCUGCCCCACUCUGGGAUAGCAAGACACAGAGCUUUGUGGGGAUGCUCACCAUCACCGACUUCAUCAACAUCCUACACCGUUACUACCGCUCACCCCUGGUUCAAAUCUACGAGGUGGAGGAGCACAAGAUUGAGACAUGGAGAGAGGUGUACCUGCAGAGCUCCUUCAAGCCAUUGGUCUACAUCUCCCCAAGCAAUAGCCUCUUUGAUGCUGUCUACUCCCUGAUCAAGCAUAAAAUCCACCGCCUGCCUGUCAUCGAGCCUGUCUCGGGCAAUGUCCUGCACAUCCUGACGCACAAGCGCAUCCUCAAGUUUCUCCACAUCUUUGGCUCUACCAUUCCCAAGCCACGCUUCCUGAAAAAAACGGUGCAAGAGCUGCGCAUUGGCACCUUUCGUGACCUGGCUGUCGUGCCUGAGACUGCCCCGAUCUACACUGCCUUGGAGAUCUUCGUGGAUCGCCGUGUCUCUGCCUUGCCCGUCAUCAAUGAUGCUGGGCAAGUGGUUGGCUUGUACUCCCGGUUUGAUGUCAUUCACCUGGCAGCUCAGAAGACCUACAACAACCUGGACAUCAGUGUGCGAGAGGCACUGCGGCAGCGCAGUAUCUGCCUGGAGGGGGUCAUCACCUGCUACCCCCAUGAGCACAUGGAGGACAUCAUUGACCGCUUUGCCAAGGAGCAGGUCCAUCGCCUGGUUCUGGUAGACGAGAACCGGUACCCGCGGGGCAUCGUCUCCCUCUCUGACGUCCUCCAGGCCCUUGUGCUCACUCCCGCAGGUAUCGAUGCUCUUAACUCUUAGCCCACGGCGCUCCAUCUUUCUUCACUUGCACUCUCCAUUUCUCUUCACUUCAGGCAUCCAUCAAUCCUCGCUCUGAAGACACCAGGAAGUGCCACUGUCUUGUCUGACUCGGGGGUCUCUUGCAUGGCCUGUGAGAAGGAGGCUUUGGCCUGAAGGCUCUCCGCAGGGAGGAUCUGCCUGUUCACGCCAGUCCUGGGGCUCGUCUUGAGUCCAGAGCCAGAUCCUGCCAGCCUUGGGGAGGUAGAAAGUGUGGAAAAGGGGGCCCAGGGGUGCCUCCUGCCAGUGAGCACACAGUGAUGCUUGAUGGGCACUGUGCUGGAGGAGCCAUUACAUGCCUGUGGCUGGGCACAGAGACCCACACAGCCCCAGAAGACCUGGUCACCCCACUCCCAUCCUGCUGCUGGAUUUGAGCAUUUCCACUGUUGCUCCCUCCCACCAUCUGUGCCUGGUGCCUGGUAGCAUAGGCUGAGCUGCACACACAGGCUUGCUUAUUGUAGGGUCACAUGGGGCUUGAGCUCCCUGGCAGAGGCACAGCCUGUGCCAGAGCUGGCACCAGGAUGGGCACUUGCAUGGGGACCCUCUGCACGUUUUGGGGUGGGCAGGGGAUAUUUAUUUAUUUAUUGGUCUGUUCAGCCUCGUUGUAACAAAGAGUCUGAUCCAAGAA
Molecule: RNA transcript, 2143 nt
Organism: Pseudopipra pipra
Lineage: Eukaryota; Metazoa; Chordata; Aves; Passeriformes; Pipridae
Gene: PRKAG3
Gene name: protein kinase AMP-activated non-catalytic subunit gamma 3
Exons: 13
Source: RefSeq, a predicted model, not a curated record